AUGAUGGGCUCCGAAAGGAGCACCAUGGGCAAGAUAUUAGCCGAAGUCUUGGGUUAUUGAUACUUUGAACGUGAUAGUUUGGUAGAACAGGCAGUCGGAAUGCCUUCCGUUGCUCAAAUAUUCAAGGUUCACAGCGAAGCAUUUUUUAGAGACACCGAGAGCAGUGUCUUGAGAGAUUUAUCCUCAAUGCAUCGACUAGUUGUUGCUAAUGGAGGUGGUGAUAUUGUUCGGUCAGUUAACUGGAGAUAUAUGAAGAAAGGUCUGUCUAUCAUGUUGGAUGUGCCUUUGGAUGCGCUUGCGAAGCGAAUUGCACAAGUUGGGACUGCUUCUCGGCCCCUUCUAGAUCAGCCAUGUGCUGAUCCAUACACAGUGGUCGUUUGCAUCUUGAUUGGCUGUACACAUUUGUCUUGAUUGGCUUAUGCAAACGCCGAUGUAAGGGUUUCUCUUGAAGGUAUGUUAGAUGCUCCUAGCUCCAUGGUCAUAGAUGGGUCUCUAGAAUCCGUCCUCUCCCGAGCGAAGUUGUAA
This 525-nucleotide ribosomal RNA is filed under the name Triticum aestivum (bread wheat). RNAcentral describes it as "partial small subunit ribosomal RNA". The record is from RNAcentral. Lineage: Eukaryota; Viridiplantae; Streptophyta; Magnoliopsida; Poales; Poaceae.